Austrofundulus limnaeus is the source of this 711-nucleotide long non-coding RNA. RefSeq lists it as uncharacterized. NCBI's taxonomy places the organism in Eukaryota, Metazoa, Chordata, Actinopteri, Cyprinodontiformes, Rivulidae. The record is from RefSeq and is a predicted model, not a curated record. The transcript has 4 exons.
UUCAGUAUGUGAUAAAUGUGUUGAAAUAAAAAUCUGGUUAUGGUUUUAACUCCAUUAUACUGUAUAAUUGUUUCAGAGAAGCUGACUUUGGGGAAACUCUGAGACGCAGUGGAUUCGGGAAGACUUCAGAAGAUUCUGGUUUUGGAAACAAGUAACUUUCCAAGGGGAGGGGUUUCAGUCAGACCCGGGUACGAGUCCUGUUCAGAAUCUACGGAGCUCUGAAGAUCCAGCAGCUUUCCAUGUGGUUCAGCCCGAUCCGUUCCCCGCCACGACACCUGACCCGACCGAUCCGAACCGUCCGUUACCUACACAGACAGAAGCGGUCCGACCGAAUCCUAAUCAGGCCUGCAGAGUACCGACUCUCCGUGUGAGAAGGAGCAGGAUCGAGAGGGCUCUCCGACGCAGAACGGGCCCGCGCGGGUAUCUGUCAAGAAGAAAUCAUUCGUCCACCGUCGAUGAAUUGAGGAGUCACUGCCUUCAGACCAUCCUACAUUUAACUGAACUCUGCAUAAGAUUGUUUGAGGAAGAAAAUAGCUGAAAAAAUGUCUAGUUUGUCAAAUCAUACUGAUCACGCUGAAAUAAAUUAUUUUCACGAGUUAGAACAGGCUUUACAAAAUCUUAUUCAACAGAACUCUCCGUCAACCUCAGAAGCUAAUGACAUUUCUGUUCUGAGUCAAUCGUUACAAAAUGUUUUAAACAACGCUGAGCAGA